CCCGGUAUGGUCUAGAUGGAGACGACGGCAGUUGGGCACCCAACGGUGCACGCUGCAGACCUGGGUUCGAACCCCAGUACCGGGG
Non-coding RNA from Aspergillus saccharolyticus JOP 1030-1, 85 nucleotides. The record is from the annotation of a RefSeq genome assembly. NCBI's taxonomy places the organism in Eukaryota, Fungi, Ascomycota, Eurotiomycetes, Eurotiales, Aspergillaceae.